Molecule: unclassified non-coding RNA, 250 nt
Filed under: fungal sp.
Lineage: Eukaryota; Fungi
Description: partial internal transcribed spacer region
Rfam family: Eukaryotic small subunit ribosomal RNA (bases 1-45)
Source: RNAcentral
AGUCGUAACAAGGUUUCCGUAGGUGAACCUGCGGAAGGAUCAUUAACACUUUUGAAUUAAAAAUUCUUUCUUUCUAAUCUUAAUAACACCUGGUUGAACUGAGAAACAAACACACAAUAUUCUUUUGAACUCCUUAACAACGAGUCGUAUCAAAAUCUGAAACCGAACAAACAAAACAUUCAAAAAAUAAAAAACAAACAAAACUAACAAAAAUAAAACAACUCUUAACAAUGGAUAUCUUGGUUCUCGC